AUCUGCCAAAACCCCACAUACAAAAAUCAUUAGCCAGAUUUCAAGACUACCUCCCGCAAGCGAAACUGCUUGAACAUAGUGCAACUUGGAGAAGGAGAGCUCGAGUCCAAGCGUAAAUAGGAGGAAUAUGACUCCAAACUGAGCCAAGGUCUCGACCUGCCGAAGGGAUUUUAUCAAUGAGGCAGAAGAAUAAGUUCACGCACGAAAUGUUCACCUGUACAAGCUCUAUGACUAAACCCAUGCCCCCAGGACCGACACAUGAACCGGCAACGAGAUAGCCAGUGCUUACCGGCUGCCCGAGUAAGCUACUUAUGAUUGCCCCAGAUGCCGCGCCCACAAUGACGGUAAUGAGGUCACUGAUUAGGCGAAGGUCCACAUAAAAGGCCAGGAUGUCACUAAUCACUUAAGGCGGUUCGUGCAAUCAAGGAGAAAAGAUAAUGAGUCUCGCCCAAACCUUGCUGCAGCUCGAAAGCACCAGACUUUGGGUUCGAUAUGACGAAUUCGUUGUCGCGCACGUCGACAAGACGCGUUACAUCCACGUGAUGACUUUCGCCGCCUAACAUGCGAUCUAGAUCUUUUGCAGAAAACUCAAGCCGUUUCAG
This 602-nucleotide long non-coding RNA is filed under the name Micromonas commoda. Its description in RNAcentral is "long non-coding RNA (MCOM_LNC000070)". The record is from RNAcentral. Lineage: Eukaryota; Viridiplantae; Chlorophyta; Mamiellophyceae; Mamiellales; Mamiellaceae.